GUCUACAAAACCAAGAUCAUGCUUGCCAUUUCAGUAUUUCACAUCUAAAACAAGUUGCUGUUAUUAAUACAACUCAACCCGUCAAAUGAUUUACGGUUGAGCAUGCUAUUCCAAAUACAACAAUAACAUUACUACUUACACAUCCUUUAUAUAUCACUUCCCAUGAUAAUACAUACACAAAUUUGUAUCUAAACUUCAUAAAUAUGCAUUUGGUUACACAAUUUUGAUGUCAAACAAACCGAGCUCACAUCGUAUCCGAGUGCGUCAGUAAUGAUGAUGACACCUUCUCAAUGUUCAUCCCCGAAGCAAACGAUGACCCUUUCGGAGUCUGAACAGACGAGGAAGAUGAUGGUGGCACGACCGAUGUUCCCAAAGUAGAAACACUGCUACUCAUGUUCACACUCGUCCCAGCCACCGACCCGUCUAUGGUGGUCCCCGCCUUUGGAGCCGGCGCCUUCCCAACCUCGGCUACACCUUCCAACAUCUGAACCACUUUUCCCAUCAUUGGUCUCUGCGACGGUUGUUCUUGGAUGCACCAAAAGCUUACUUCGAUAACUCGUCGAACCUGGUCCAUAUCGACCUGUUCGUGGUUACGAAGCUUGGUGUCGAUAAUCGCUUCGAUGUUUCCUUUAUCAACCUCUUCGUAAGCCCAAACGGAAAACUUUUUCCGGUUGGUUUGUUCCGAGACUUCAAAGUUCCGUCUUCCACACACGAUCUCCAACAAAACCAUUCCGUAACUGUAUACAUCCGAUUUAGAAGUUAUCGGCAGGUUCGCGAGCCAUUCCGGAGCCAAAUACCCUCGAGUCCCUCUCACGCUCGUUAAUGUUCGGUACCUGUGGUCUUUCGGGUUUACUAACUUAGCUAGCCCGAAAUCCGAAACCUUGGCGUUGUGAUUCUCGUCUAGAAGAAUGUUUUCGGGUUUUAUAUCGCAAUGAACGAUACAAUCCCGGCAUUCUUCGUGAAGGUAUGUGAUCCCUCUAGCUGUCCCGAGUGCAAUAUUGAAUCUAGUCUCCCAAUUUAACAUCUUAACCGAUUGUAACUGUUCUUCUGGCGCGAAUAAAAAGGUAUCAAGAGAACUGUUCUUCAUGAACUCGUACACUAGAAGCCUGUGACGACCUUCAGAACAAAAUCCGAUCAACCGCACAAGGUUCAAAUGAUGAGUGCUACUAAUCGUUGCAACCUCCAUACGAAACUGUUUCUCGCCUUGCUCGAUCCCUUCAAGCUGUUUAACCGCAACCGUGGUACGGUUGGCUAAAACCCCUUUGUAAACUGCACCGAACCCACCGGCUCCAAGCUUCUCCUUGAACCCUUUCGUGGCCCGUUGGAGAUCCUUGUAUGAAAACUGAACCGGUGCACCAGAGAUGAAUUUGGGAGACAUUGAUGGAUGGUGAAGAACAGGUGGGUGUGGGUGGGGGAAGAUG
This 1421-nucleotide long non-coding RNA is filed under the name Helianthus annuus (common sunflower). RNAcentral's name for it is "hypothetical non coding rna". The record is from RNAcentral. Lineage: Eukaryota; Viridiplantae; Streptophyta; Magnoliopsida; Asterales; Asteraceae.